AACGAACGCUGGCGGCAUGCCUAACACAUGCAAGUCGAACGAGACCUUCGGGUCUAGUGGCGCACGGGUGCGUAACGCGUGGGAACCUGCCCUUAGGUUCGGAAUAACUCCCCGAAAGGGGUGCUAUUACCGGAUAAUGUCUUCGGACCAAAGAUUUAUCGCCUUUGGAUGGGCCCGCGUUGGAUUAGCUAGUUGGUAGGGUAAAAGCCUACCAAGGCGACGAUCCAUAGCUGGUCUGAGAGGAUGAUCAGCCACACUGGGACUGAGACACGGCCCAGACUCCUACGGGAGGCAGCAGUGGGGAAUAUUGGACAAGGGGCGAAAGCCUGAUCCAGCAAUGCCGCGUGAGUGAUGAAGGCCUUAGGGUUGUAAAGCUCUUUUACCCGGGAUGAUAAUGACAGUACCGGGAGAAUAAGCGCCGGCUAACUCCGUG
Molecule: ribosomal RNA, 433 nt
Filed under: uncultured bacterium
Lineage: Bacteria
Description: partial 16S ribosomal RNA
Rfam family: Bacterial small subunit ribosomal RNA
Source: RNAcentral